This 263-nucleotide ribosomal RNA is filed under the name uncultured archaeon. Its description in RNAcentral is "partial 16S ribosomal RNA". It matches the Rfam family "Archaeal small subunit ribosomal RNA", at positions 718 to 982 of the family's 1478-position model. The record is from RNAcentral.
AGUCACUGACAUUAGAUACCCCUGUAGUCCAGGGUGUAAACGCUGCAGACUUGGUGUUGGAACCCUUCGGGGUGCUCAGUGCCGGAGAGAAGUUGUUAAGUCUGCUACUUGGGAGUACGUCCGCAAGGAUGGAACUUAAAGGAAUUGGCGGGGGAGCACCGCAACGGGAGGAGCGUGCGGUUUAAUUGGAUUCAACGACCGAAAAACUCACCAGCAGCGACUGUUACAUGAAAGUCAGGUUGAUGACCUUACUAGAUUUUCAG